Molecule: ribosomal RNA, 216 nt
Filed under: uncultured bacterium
Lineage: Bacteria
Description: partial 16S ribosomal RNA
Rfam family: Bacterial small subunit ribosomal RNA
Source: RNAcentral
GCCUAGGAAUCUGCCUGGUAGUGGGGGACAACGUCUCGAAAGGGACGCUAAUACCGCAUACGUCCUACGGGAGAAAGCAGGGGACCUUCGGGCCUUGCGCUAUCAGAUGAGCCUAGGUCGGAUUAGCUAGUUGGUGAGGUAAUGGCUCACCAAGGCGACGAUCCGUAACUGGUCUGAGAGGAUGAUCAGUCACACUGGAACUGAGACACGGUCCAG